AAGUCGAGCGGUAACGCGGGAGCAAUCCUGGCGACGAGCGGCGAACGGGUGAGCAAUGCUUCGGAAUCUGCCCUGUAGUGGGGAAUAACCAGCCGAAAGGUUGGCUAAUACCGCAUACGCCCCUUUUCUUCAUCGAAGAGUGGGAAAGCGGGGGACCGCAAGGCCUCGCGCUAUUGGAUGAGCCGAAGUCGGAUUAGCUAGUUGGUAGGGUAACGGCCUACCAAGGCGACGAUCCGUAGCUGGUCUGAGAGGACGACCAGCCACACUGGGACUGAGACACGGCCCAGACUCCUACGGGAGGCAGCAGUGGGGAAUAUUGGACAAUGGGCGAAAGCCUGAUCCAGCGACGCCGCGUGUGUGAAGAAGGCCUGCGGGUUGUAAAGCACUUUUAGUGGGGAUGAAAAGCUCGGAUCCAACACAUCCGGGUCUUGACCUAACCCACAGAAAAAGCACCGGCUAACUCUGUGCCAGCAGCCGCGGUAAUACAGAGGGUGCGAGCGUUAAUCGGAAUUACUGGGCGUAAAGCGUGCGUAGGCGGUCGUGUAAGUCGGGUGUGAAAGCCCCGGGCUCAACCUGGGAAUUGCAUUCGAGACUGCACGGCUGGAGUGCGGAAGAGGGAAGCGGAAUUUCCGGUGUAGCGGUGAAAUGCGUAGAUAUCGGA
This 661-nucleotide ribosomal RNA is filed under the name uncultured bacterium. RNAcentral's name for it is "bacterial SSU rRNA". It matches the Rfam family "Bacterial small subunit ribosomal RNA", at positions 59 to 701 of the family's 1533-position model. The record is from RNAcentral.